UACGGGGGGAGCAAGCGUUGUUCGGAUUCACUGGGCGUAAAGGGCACGCAGGCGGCUCGGCAGGUAGGGCAUGAAAUCUCCCGGCUUAACUGGGAGGGGCUGUCCUAAACCGCUGGGCUUGAGGGCGGGAGAGGGAAGUGGAAUUGCCGGUGUAGUGGUGAAAUGCGUAGAGAUCGGCAGGAACACCAGUGGCGAAGGCGACUUCCUGGUCCGCCCCUGACGCUCAUGUGCGAAAGCUAGGGUAGCGAACGGG
Molecule: ribosomal RNA, 253 nt
Filed under: uncultured bacterium
Lineage: Bacteria
Description: partial 16S ribosomal RNA
Rfam family: Bacterial small subunit ribosomal RNA
Source: RNAcentral